ACGAACGCUGGCGGCGUGCUUAACACAUGCAAGUCGAACGGAAAGGCCCUGCUUUUGUGGGGUGCUCGUGUGGCGAACGGGUGAGUAACACGUGAGUAACCUGCCCUUGACUUUGGGAUAACUUCAGGAAACUGGGGCUAAUACCGGAUAGGAGCUCCUGCUGCAUGGUGGGGGUUGGAAAGUUUCGGCGGUUGGGGAUGGACUCGCGGCUUAUCAGCUUGUUGGUGGGGUAGUGGCUUACCAAGGCUUUGACGGGUAGCCGGCCUGAGAGGGUGACCGGCCACAUUGGGACUGAGAUACGGCCCAGACUCCUACGGGAGGCAGCAGUGGGGAAUAUUGCACAAUGGGCGGAAGCCUGAUGCAGAAACGCCGCGUGCGGGAUGACGGCCUUCGGGUUGUAAACCGCUUUCGCCUGUGACGAAGCGUGAGUGACGGUAAUGGGUAAAGAAGCACCGGCUAACUACGUG
Molecule: ribosomal RNA, 467 nt
Filed under: uncultured bacterium
Lineage: Bacteria
Description: partial 16S ribosomal RNA
Rfam family: Bacterial small subunit ribosomal RNA
Source: RNAcentral